UUUGGUUUAUAUGACAGUGACCUCAUUUUCUUGGAUCAUGUUAAGUUUAUGUGAUAGUUGUAGUAAAGCUUUAUAUUUAGGACUAUCAACAUAAUAUCAAUGAUUAGUAUUUAAGAAGGCGAGACAUUUCAGGAUGUGCACUCUUGUGUUUAUAUUAGACCAGUUUAUUGUUUAAUACAUAAAUUAAUAGGUUAAAAUUAGAAUAGUUUUCAAGGAACCAGUUUCAUUAUAAAUAGAUAUUGACAUUGAAGAUAUGAUUUUAUAUCGAAGUCUACCAAAACGCAAAUGCACAGAAAAACUUUGGCAAUCCAGUAUAUAUGAAUAUUACAAUUUAGUGACAAUUUAAAAGCAUAUAUUAUAUGAUUUAAUUGAUGGUUUUCAUUAGAAAAAUUAUCAAAAUUUAAUUUGUAAAUAAAUCAUUAUAUUGUGUUAUCAUGUAGUGUUCAAAGUGAGUACUAAAAUAGUUCAUCAGAAGACAUCACUGUAUAUGAAUCUUAAAUACUUAAGUGUGAUAAAUCCCAGUUCAAAGUAACUAGUGCAAUCAUUCCAGGUACAAAAUCACUAGUCAGUAGUGUAAUAAUUCCUGGUUCAAAAUCACUAGUGUUAUUGUAAGCCAUAAUAGUGUCCUGUGAAAAAUUAAGUGUCCAGUUGGACAGUUUUUCAUAGAAUUUUGGUAUUUAAUAAUGUCCAUUGCCAUGAUAUAUUGUCCCUCAAGUAGACAGAUUUUUACUGCAAAAGUUAUGAAAUAGUGUCCACCCACAGGACAAGUUUUCAUACUAGUUGCUAUUAAAUUGUGUCCUCCAAGGGAAGUAAUACAAAGGUCAUUAAAAAGUUUUAUUGUACUUGAAAUUUUAAUAAAAUCAGAAGGAUUGAGUAGAAAUUGAUUUAUAUAAACAAACAAAUAAUGGAUGGAAGUGAAUAUAGAUACAUUUAAGUUCUAAGAAAUACCCAGCUAAUGCUAAUAACAAUGAAAGAAGAACAAUAAGAAGGGAGUGUGUAAAGUAUAAAAUCAAAUCUCCGUGCCUAGACUGCAGUUUUUGGCAAUUCUCAACAUUAGGAAAGAAAACUUGAAAGAAAACUUGAAACAGCAACCAAGAUACAGAUACAUGUACAGAUGCCCUUAAAGUUUUUGAUGAAGUUAAGAGCAAGAUACUAUCCCAUCCAGCAGUGAUACGGUAUGACCAAUUCCCAGACAAUAUGACAAAGAAUAACAAUUGGACACCAACAGUUCACAUAUGAGAAGAUGUUUUUAGGACUUCAUACAUGUACAGGAGCUUCUAAGGAGGAAUUGAAAAGAAGAUUGCAUUAUCCUUAACUUCACAUUUUGCUAUAAAGAUGAUUUCCUUUUAUUGAAUAAUUCAAAGAAUGUUGACUUUGUUGAACGCAUGUAUCCCAUUGAACUUGAAAUAAAGGAUUCAACAGAUACAGGUGAAUCCUUGCUGGGUCAUUGAAAAACCUACUGGAAGUUCUUCUGAUACUGGAAAUUGAAAACAAAUGGUCAUUUUGGAAGAAAAUUGAUAGAGGAAAGAUACAGAUAUACAAGAAUUUCAUAUUUGAAAUGCACUUAAUAUUUCUUUUGUAUAUGAUCACCAAAUUUUGGCAGUCAAAUAAGGCCAAUUAAAAUUAAUUGAUAGAUUUUCAUCCCCGCCCGCCCCUCUGAAAAUGUCCCGCUGCGAUUUUUUUUAUUUUUAAAAAUAUACGAUUUCCGGAUUUUGUUCAUUUACGUUACCGGUAACCGCCGAUAAUUUCGAUUCAUUAAAACUUCCUUUUUCAAAUUUCGGUUUUCGUAUUUCUUCGAGUAAUAUAAGUCGACAUAUUCUUCUGCUCAAUGAUGACAACAUUAUCUUUUGAGAAUAUAGAUUGAUUACUAGAAGGACAUAAAUUAUUCGGCUUACGAGUAAUUGGCGUUGUCCAAGAACGGUAAUCACGGUUUGUCACAAAUUUCAGUGAAUAUAAAACCGUCGAUUAUUUUAUUUAUACAAUGACAUUGUGUAAGGAAAUUUAGACUGUGAAUGAUAUCCAAAGCGCAAAAAUCGUGGAACACAUUGAUACAAAAUCAUGACUGGAAUAAAGAAAUUAACACAAGCACAAACUUGUGCGAUUUAUGACCGUAUAUUGAGUACAAAGAGUCGGCCAACGUACAAAAUGUAUUAUAGCUGCCAUGGCUUAGAUUUACCUCCAAAGCUGUCAUUUCAGCCCUUCAAUAGAGUUAUUAAAUAACUUUUUUUUUUUGGUUCAGUUCAUGUUUUACAUUGUAAUUAUAUUUGCACCUUGCAUAAGAAUCUUAAAAGCAUGAACCCUAGUAUUUUCAACACAGUUUGAGUUUUCAUUUCACUCUGUACUCAUAAUAUUUGUGUUGCAUACCAAUGCAUAUGCUUCAUUUUAUGGGCACUAUAAAUCAUAACUUAGAAAGCAAAAAAUGAUCUAUGUAGUCUAAAAGAGAACAUUUUUCCACGUUUUUGCUAUUUACUAAAAAUCGGUUUCUAAAGCGGCAAUUACAUGUAGAACAAUGGUUGCCAAUCGGAAAUAUUGAUUUAAGAAUUAAAACAAAAAUGUAGAAUUCCUUAUAUAAACAUGAUAUAAGCUUAUUAUUACCCUUGUACAUUGUGUAUAUGAACAACACGUCUCAAAAUGGUUAAGGAGGAAAUAAAAAUUAAAAAAAUAAAUCCUCCCACCCGCCCCAUUUUUUUCAAAAAUCUGGAUGAAAAUCUUCUUAUUAAUUUUAGUUGGCCUAAUGGUAUCAUUGUUAUCUUUGCCAUAUAAACAAAUAUACCUGGUAAAAUUUGUUCAUUAGAGGAAACUUUAAUUACAAAUAUCUAUUCACAUUAAAUUUAGAUGAUUUUUUUACCAAUUUUUUAAUUUUAAAAAUAAAUCAAUUGUUUUUAUUCUGUGGGAUUCAAAAUGUUUUGCCAUUUAUGAUAAUCUAUUUAUUUUGAAUAGUCUGAAAUACAUUUCAUGAAAAUUUCAAAUUCAAAAUAAGGCCUCUACAGUGCAUACUCCAUCACAAAUUGAGGUAAUGUUAGUAUUGAUUCUGAGGUAAAGGAGUAGGGGCAUUAAGGCCCAGUUUUGGCACAAGAAAAUAAAAUUUUUGACAACUUUUUCAAAUUGGCACAUAAUGUUUGGAAAUGCAUUGAGUGAAGAAAUAUAAAUGAAAAACAUAAGAUUGUUUAUAUGAUGACGUCACAGUUACGUCAUAAUAUGUACCGUUUUCAUGAAAAAGAUGAAAAAUGCAGAAUUUUCGCAAUUUUUCAUCGUUAUUUCCAUUACGGAAACAUCGUGCGCAGCCAAGAAACAACAAAAUAAUUUAAGAGAAGCUUUAUUAUAACUAUUGAAAUAAUCUCACCAAAUAUAAAGUUGUUUCUUGGGUGCGCACAUACUUUGCCAAUCUUAAAUAUACUUAGAAUUUGAUGAAAAACAAGGAAAUUCAAGAAAUUUUAUAAAAUA
This is a long non-coding RNA of Mytilus californianus (California mussel), 3444 nucleotides long. RefSeq lists it as uncharacterized. The transcript has 6 exons. The record is from RefSeq and is a predicted model, not a curated record. Lineage: Eukaryota; Metazoa; Mollusca; Bivalvia; Mytilida; Mytilidae.